Rosa rugosa (rugosa rose) is the source of this 1517-nucleotide long non-coding RNA. RefSeq lists it as uncharacterized. NCBI's taxonomy places the organism in Eukaryota, Viridiplantae, Streptophyta, Magnoliopsida, Rosales, Rosaceae. The record is from RefSeq and is a predicted model, not a curated record. The transcript is spliced from 4 exons.
AAGCAUUGGUCAAUAGAUAUUGUGAAACUUUUAGUGAGUUCAGACUUCAAAGAUCUGAUCCAGUCACUUCUCUUCUCAAGAAAGGUCUUUUCCAAAGUAUAUUCCAGAAGCCUUUAUCAACAUCAGUCUCUCUCCUUCGCCGACAUCAACAGCACCCAUCAACAUCCCCAUCACUCAUAACUUGCUUCAGUUCUAUCUCAAAAACCGAAAUCAGUAACAAUAGAGAAAUGAACAAUAAUUUGGUCUUCUAUGUGUGAAAGGUUAUGUGAAAUUUGGACAUAACAGAGAAGACAAUGGAGUAGUGCAUCAUGAAUGGGCCUCCGUGGCUCAGUGAGUUCAUUAGCUUUUGAAUGACCAUUCGAUUAGCUUUGGAAACAGUUGAAGAAGGCAGAGGACCUUGGUUUAUUUAAACAGAGCCAUAGACCUCGGUGAGAAUAACAGUCAUAUACCAUAGGAUGAGAAAGGAAGAUUUACAAGCAGCAGUAGAUGGAAGGUCAGAAAAAUUGAAGAAGAGCUGUUAGUGGUAGUAGCAAAGAUCAUAUUGUCAGUAUUGGCGGGUGGGUUUCUGCUGGUGUCCUCACAUCUCUAUGAGCAACUGAUAUUGAGGCGUAAAGGGCUAAGAUCAAAGCUCCAAAAGCAAGAAAUUAGAGGGCGUCCUCCAUUCCUCUUGGGGAAUAUCCUUGCAUAACGCCUUCAAAGCAAGGACCACUCAAUAGCAACAAAGACUACAGAUCCUUGAAAGCCUCUGCAUGAUGAUCGUCAUGUACCUUCUGUUUGUCACCAAUGAUCUUCAAAAAUCUUCCCCCACAGAGGAAUGAAGAAGUGAAUAUGGUACGUUUCUAUACUAUCAUGCAUUAGUUCAUACAUUAUGCCAAAGACGAUUAUUUCAACAUGAAAAGAUGAUUUAUUAAUUGUCGGGUGAUUAUUAUGGAUUAUUUAUUACGUUGUAUUGUUUUAGUUUCUGUAAAGUUUCUAAUCAUAUACUUGGAUUUUGUAAUUGUGCAUAUGAGUUCAGAAAAGUAUUCCAGUACUGAAGUAGAUUUUGAGACCUUUCAGCUCUUGCUCAAGCAUGAAAAACUUUCGUGCAUCAGCCCAGGUGAACUAAUAAAAUUACAUUCACCUCAUACAUCAUAUAACCUACAUAUUUCUUUGGUUUGUUUCUUUUCAAAAUUUAAAUGCUCUUGGUCCUGUCUGUAUUGGCCUUUUCCACAAAAAAGGGGAAUCCUUUGUUACAAUGGAAGGGUCGUUAUAUGCAAUUUAUUGUUUUUUUGGGUUUGAUUCGAUGGCUCUCUGUCUUUGCUUUGUUUCACAUGUCAGUAUGUCACACAGUUCCACUUGUCUCGGGGCUGUGGAGGCUUUACAUUUUUUUUUUCCCGAAGGAGCUCUACUUUGAAUAUGCAGAAACCUUCAUCCAACUGCAUGAUUUUCUGAAUGGAUUGGAGACAUUCGAGCACGGUGUUGUGAAAUUUUAAUUAAAACUCGCAAGCGCACGAAUCGUCGUUAGUAUAGUGUGCAAG